Molecule: ribosomal RNA, 496 nt
Filed under: uncultured bacterium
Lineage: Bacteria
Description: partial 16S ribosomal RNA
Rfam family: Bacterial small subunit ribosomal RNA
Source: RNAcentral
AUGAACGCUGGCGGCGUGCCUAAUACAUGCCAGUCGCGCGAACAGACGAGGAGCUUGCUCCUUUGACGUUAGCGGCGGACGGGUGAGUAACACGUGGAUAACCUACCUAUAAGACUGGGAUAACUUCGGGAAACCGGAGCUAAUACCGGAUAACAUGUUGAACCGCAUGGUUCAACAGUGAAAGACGGUUUUGCUGUCACUUAUAGAUGGAUCCGCGCCGCAUUAGCUAGUUGGUAAGGUAACGGCUUACCAAGGCAACGAUGCGUAGCCGACCUGAGAGGGUGAUCGGCCACACUGGAACUGAGACACGGUCCAGACUCCUACGGGAGGCAGCAGUAGGGAAUCUUCCGCAAUGGGCGAAAGCCUGACGGAGCAACGCCGCGUGAGUGAAGAAGGUCUUCGGAUCGUAAAACUCUGUUAUUAGGGAAGAACAAAUGUGUAAGUAACUAUGCACGUCUUGACGGUACCUAAUCAGAAAGCCACGGCUAACUACGUG